This 200-nucleotide ribosomal RNA is filed under the name uncultured bacterium. RNAcentral describes it as "partial 16S ribosomal RNA". It matches the Rfam family "Bacterial small subunit ribosomal RNA", at positions 8 to 206 of the family's 1533-position model. The record is from RNAcentral.
AGAGUUUGAUCAUGGCUCAGGACGAACGCUGGCGGCGUGCUUAAUACAUGCAAGUCGAGCGCGAACAUUCCUUCGGGGAUGUUUGAGCGGCGGACGGGUGAGUAACGCGUGGGCAAUCUGCCCUCUAGCCUGGGAUAACAGUUCGAAAGGACUGCUAACACCGGAUAUUCUCUUGAGAAGGCAUCUUUUUAAGAGGAAAG